GGACUAGAAGACUAAUCAAGUAACAUCAUAAACAACUGCAAGGUAACUUCAUCACUCCAUUUUGUUUUCUUUUACUUUUGAACUUGGUUUAUGGUUUAAUGUUAAUAUACUAAACUUAUGAAUCAUUGAUCAUUUCGUAAUUGAUAUCAUACUUGGUUUAUAGCUUAAUGUUUAUCAUGGUUUUUCAUUUUUCAACUAAUCUUAUUUGGUUUUUAUGUAACAGGAACAAGUCAUGGAGUUUGGAUCAUGGCUUUGGAUUUGAACUUCUUUCUUUAAUUUGGAUGCUUUGAAUUUGAUUUUGAACAAUGUUUUUAGGUCUUGCUUUGGAUUUGAACUUCUUUCUUUCAUUUUAGAUGCUUUGGAUGUUGAUUUGGAUGGUUUUAUUUGGAUGUUGUGGAUGUUGCGUUUUGGUUUGAACGUAUGGAACUUUAAACUUUUGUUAUGUCAUGCUUUGGUUUUACUUCA
RNAcentral lists this long non-coding RNA (465 nucleotides) under Arabidopsis lyrata. RNAcentral's name for it is "long non-coding RNA (ALYR_LNC000490)". Lineage: Eukaryota; Viridiplantae; Streptophyta; Magnoliopsida; Brassicales; Brassicaceae. The record is from RNAcentral.